RNAcentral lists this ribosomal RNA (468 nucleotides) under uncultured bacterium. Its description in RNAcentral is "partial 16S ribosomal RNA". It matches the Rfam family "Bacterial small subunit ribosomal RNA", at positions 28 to 507 of the family's 1533-position model. The record is from RNAcentral.
GACGAACGCUGGCGGCGUGCUUAACACAUGCAAGUCGAACGGAAAGGCCCUGCUUUUGUGGGGUGCUUGAGAGGCGAACGGGUGAGUAACACGUGAGUAACCUGCCCUUGACUUUGGGAUAACUUCAGGAAACUGGGGCUAAUACCGGAUAGGAGCUCCUGCUGCAUGGUGGGGGUUGGAAAGUUUCGGCGGUUGGGGAUGGACUCGCGGCUUAUCAGCUUGUUGGUGGAGUAAUGACUUACGAAGGCUUUGACGGGUAGCCGGCCUGAGAGGGUGACCGGCGACAUGGGUACUAAGAUACGCCGCAGACUGCAACGGGAGGCAGCAGUCGGGAAUAUGGCACAAUGGGCGGACGCCUGAUGUAGCAACGCCGCGUGCGGGAUGACGGCCUUCGGGUUGUAAACCGCUUUCGCAUGUGACGAAGCGUGAGUGACGGUAAUGGGUAAAGAAGCACCGGCUAACUACGUG